UAGAGUUUGAUCCUGGCUCAGAUCGAACGUUAGCGGCGGGCCUAACACAUGCAAGUCGCACGACAAAAGGGCUUCGGCCCCCAGUAAAGUGGCGGACGGGUGAGUAACACGUGUAUAACCUGCCCUUCAAUGGGGGAUAACUGUCCGAAGGGAUAGCUAAUACCGCAUGAGUCUCACGAGGUCUCCGGGUCUUGUCGGGAAAACAGCCCUCUCCAUGGAAGGUUGUGCUGAAGGAUGGGUCCGCGUCCCAUCAACUAGUUGGUGAGGUGACGGCUCACCAAGGCGAAUACGGGUAGCUGGUCUGAGAGGAUGAUCAACCACACUGGAACUGAGACACGGUCCAGACUCCUACGGGAGGCAGCAGUGGGGAAUAUUGGGCAAUGGGCGCAAGCCUGACCCAGCCACGCCGCGUGAGUGAUGAAGGCCUUCGGGUCGUAAAGCUCUGUGGGGAGGGACGAACAAAUCUGGGGCUAAUCACCCGGGUCCUGACGGUACCUCCUUAGCAAGCACCGACUAACCCUGUGCCAGCAGCCCCGGUCAA
This 541-nucleotide ribosomal RNA is filed under the name uncultured bacterium. RNAcentral describes it as "bacterial SSU rRNA". It matches the Rfam family "Bacterial small subunit ribosomal RNA", at positions 1 to 524 of the family's 1533-position model. The record is from RNAcentral.